CUACGGGGGGCUGCAGUGGGGAAUAUUGCACAAUGGGCGCAAGCCUGAUGCAGCCAUGCCGCGUGUAUGAAGAAGGCCUUCGGGUUGUAAAGUACUUUCAGCGGGGAGGAAGGGAGUAAAGUUAAUACCUUUGCUCAUUGACGUUACCCGCAGAAGAAGCACCGGCUAACUCCGUGCCAGCAGCCGCGGUAAUACGGAGGGUGCAAGCGUUACUCGGAAUUACUGGGCGUAAAGCGCACGCAGGCGGUUUGUUAAGUCAGAUGUGAAAUCCCCGGGCUCAACCUGGGGACUGCAUCUGAUACUGGCAAGCUUGAGUCUCGUAGAGGGGGGUAGAAUUCCAGGUGUAGCGGUGAAAUGCGUAGAGAUCUGGAGGAAUACCGGUGGCGAAGGCGGCCCCCUGGACGAAGACUGACGCUCAGGUGCGAAAGCGUGGGGAGCAAACAGGAUUAGAUACCCUAGUAGUC
Molecule: ribosomal RNA, 464 nt
Filed under: uncultured bacterium
Lineage: Bacteria
Description: partial 16S ribosomal RNA
Rfam family: Bacterial small subunit ribosomal RNA
Source: RNAcentral